Molecule: ribosomal RNA, 242 nt
Filed under: uncultured bacterium
Lineage: Bacteria
Description: partial 16S ribosomal RNA
Rfam family: Bacterial small subunit ribosomal RNA
Source: RNAcentral
AUUCGAGCGUUAUCCGGAUUUAUUGGGUUUAAAGGGAGCGUAGAUGGAUGUUUAAGUCAGUUGUGAAAGUUUGCGGCUCAACCGUAAAAUUGCAGUUGAUACUGGCAUCCUUGAGUACAGUAGAGGUAGGCGGAAUUCGUGGUGUAGCGGUGAAAUGCUUAGAUAUCACGAAGAACUCCGAUUGCGAAGGCAGCCUGCUGGACUGUAACUGACGCUGAUGCUCGAAAGUGUGGGUAUCAAAC